CACCAGCGCCUCGAGUGGGGAUCGCGAUUAUUGGGUCUAAAGCGUCCGUAGCAGGCUUUGUAAAUGCUUUGUGAAAUCGGCAGGCCUAACCUGUCGGCGUGCAGAGUAGACUGCAGAACUAGAGACCGGGAGAGGUUGGAAGUAUUCUUUGGGUACCGGUAAAAUGGGUUAAUCCAAAGAGGACUACCUAUGGCGAAGGCAUCCAACCAGAACGGUUCUGACUGUGAGGGACGAAAGCUAGGGGAGCAAAACG
RNAcentral lists this ribosomal RNA (253 nucleotides) under uncultured archaeon. RNAcentral describes it as "partial 16S ribosomal RNA". It matches the Rfam family "Archaeal small subunit ribosomal RNA", at positions 474 to 726 of the family's 1478-position model. The record is from RNAcentral.